ACCCCACACACCUAAAAUGCCUACAUAGCUGUUCAGUGCCAAAAAUGUAGGCAAGGGCUAUAGAUUUAAUAAUGUAGCCAUAGGCAAGUAGCCAUGGGACAAAGAUAAAAAUAGGUGCAUAUGCAACAUACCCAUCAAACACGGUGAAUCAAGAGGGAAGUAAGUGUGUUGUUACUGAAGAGGUUUGAUUACACUAGAAAAUUAGGUAAAGGAGAAAUGACUCACUGGUCGGAAGUUGAAAAGUACUGGGGACAAAGUCUGUUCUUGUUUCUGCCUUUGUGACUUCACCAAACACAAGGGCAGAUUCUGUUUUCAUCUAUACUUACGUGAAAGGGAAGUCGUCCAUUGGGAUACAGUGGUAUAAAACAAGAAGGAAAUCUACUCAUCUAGAGGAAAAUGGUGUAGACAGUACAAUUUAUCAUGCAUAGAGAAGGCAGCAAUGGUGAUUCCUCAAAUAUUACACUAAGAGCAUAGCAGUUUGACAGAAGACAAGAGGAGAUGACAUUUGAAGGGAAUAUUGGAAAGAGAAGAGCUACAUUAAAAGAUCAUGAGUUUACACAAAUGGGAUGGAGCUUCAUGUAUAACAGUGAAUAAAAUAUUCACAAGAGAAACCAAAGCACCUCUUUUUACAGAAAGUAAAGGAUUUUCACCACUUUUGUUUGCUGUAAAUCAGUACCCCCACCUGCACAAACAUCCUGCCCUUACAUUUCUGAAUAAGAUAGGAAGAAUUUUUUUAUCUGUAAUUGUACACCGAUGCUGCACCUCCCCCACUAUUUGCA
Molecule: long non-coding RNA, 779 nt
Filed under: Anas platyrhynchos platyrhynchos (common mallard)
Lineage: Eukaryota; Metazoa; Chordata; Aves; Anseriformes; Anatidae
Description: lncRNA (ENSAPLG00000028048.1)
Source: RNAcentral